Molecule: long non-coding RNA, 2630 nt
Filed under: Sus scrofa (pig)
Lineage: Eukaryota; Metazoa; Chordata; Mammalia; Artiodactyla; Suidae
Description: lncRNA (ENSSSCG00035044445.1)
Source: RNAcentral
UUUUUUUUUUCUUUUUUUUGUCUUUUUGCCUUUUCUAGGGCCGCUCCCUCGGCAUAUGGAGGUUCCCAGGCUAGGGGUUGAAUCGGAGCUGUAGCCACCAGCCUACGUCAGAGCCACAGCAACUCGGGACCCGAGCCACGUCUGCAACCUACACCACAGCUCACGGCAACGCUGGAUCCUUAACCCAACCCACUGAGCAAGGCCAGGGAUCGAACCCGCAACCUCAUGGUUCCUAGUCGGAUUCGUUAACCACUGAGCCACAACGGGAACUCCAGAGACCAAUUGUUUUAUUAAUUCUCACCAUGAUACUAGAUCUAGGAUGGGCUGUUAUUCAAUGCUCCUUUUUCCUACAGAUAAGGCUGAGUUCAGUUCUACUUUUUGAUCUGAGCUCCUGCUUAAAUUCACUCCAACGAAUUUAAGUUGGUGACAUUUUCGCCACGCAUGGGUAGUGGCACGCCCACAGGAAGAGCAAGGCUUUGGAUCGCCAUGGACAUAGCCGUGGAUUGAUCUCAAAAUAUUACCAGUUCUGAGCAUAUGACUCAAGAUAGCCUUAGUUUGGUCGACUAUAAAAUACGAGCACCGUUUGUGAUUAACUAUAAUAAAUGUAAGAACUAGCAUCUAGUAGAUAUUUAAUAUGUGACAUCUUGUAGAGAAGAACAGAACUGUAAAAAAUUAAACUUCAAAACAGAUGGAUGGAAAUGCUAGGAUGUUUAAAAGUAAUAUCUGCUGAGCCAUGGCACUAUCAUGGUAUCAAAAUCCCCCCGAGGCUCUUGCUAAAUGAUUAUGAUCUUAUAAAUUUCUGGGUCCCACUGUCAGACCUGCAGAGCAAUCCCAACAGUUUGGAUCCAGGAAUCUGUAAGUUUGUGUUUUCAAAACAAACUCAUUCUUUUUUGGUGGAGGGGGGGACCACCUGUGGCAUAUGGAAAUUCCCAGGCCAGGGGUUGAAUCGGGGCUGCAGCCAGAACCUACACAACCGUCACAGCAACACUGGAUCCCAGCCACAGUCCCCGACCUAUGCAGCAGCUUGAGGCAAUGCUGGACCCCUAACCCACUAAGCAAGCCCAGGGAUCGAACCCGCAUCCUCACAGACACUGUCCGUUUCCUACCCCGCUGAGCCACAACAGGAACUCUCAUUCAUUGAUUGUUAUGCUCAUUAAAGCUUGAGACUCUCUAAGAGCUAGAAAGAGGAAACCUAUCAGUAAGUGACCGGAAGGACACAGACGGUACCCUGAGCCUGGAAUAAUUCCAGGAGGCUUCACUGGCAGAGGGACGGAAUGUAAGGGAAAUUAGGGCAGUAACUGGGGAACCACAAGAGAUAAGGCAGAAACCCAGGGUGAGGAGGCCGGGCUGUGAGCCCCCCGAAGAUGGAUGUAGACUCGGGAAGAGGGUGAGCUGUGUGGAGGAUGCUUCCUUUAAAAGAAGCAGUGACUGGGGAAUUCCCGUCGUGGUGCAGUGGUUAACGAAUCCGGGAUUACGUGAACUGUAAACAGAUCAAACAUUUCAAUUAAAGGCAAAGAUGAUUAUGCUGGAUUUUUUUUUUUUUAAAUCAAGACUCAAUUGUAUGCGGUUGAUAAGAGAUGCACUUCAAACAUAAAUACACAGACAAGUGGGACAUAAAAAAAUGGAAAAAGAUCUCCACGCAAACACCCAUCGAGGACAGCGAGGGUGGAUCUACCGAUUCGGACAAAGACGACUUCAAGACGAGGAAAAUUACUCGAGGUGGUCAGGGUCAUUUUUGUUCACACCCGUUGGAUCCCGCAUGUUCUCGGGAGACCAAAAAGAGAUAAAAAAAGUAUGACGAUAAAAGAGGGCAUCGCCGGGCAUUUUUGGCUUGUCUCCGCCCCCAGUCGUGUCUUAACCUAUAGAAGCACGUCCAUCAGUGUCUUGGACGUAUCCUCUCUCUUCCCAGCCAGGUACCAGCAGCGUGAUCUAUGGGAAGGGGCAUAAUUCACCGGCGAGGCUUGACUAUAGAGGCUGUAAUCAGCAGUGACGUGCUUUUGUGACAGUUCUGUAUAAAAAAUGACGAACAUAAAUAAAACACGCUGUAUAUUACAGGGUAACAGAAUAUAAAGCAUCACAGAUAGAGUCCUCCAGCCAGGAGCAUCCAGAAUUGAAGCCCGUGAGCGACGGCCGGCCGAGGGCAAGGGAGAACGCAGCCCCGCAGCUCGCCCCAGCGGCGCCCCGGCCAGCGGCUCUCAGCCGGCCCAACGCCAGGACCUUCUCAACAGGAGGCGACCAGGUUGGUCCGCAAAUCUCUAGGACUUCCCAUCAGGCGUCCAGAGUGGGAUUUUAGUUUUCACUCGACCCAGCUUCUCGCCGAGGCUUUUCUCUUUAAUGUGGUCCUGAAUGCAGCGGAGAAGGAUGGGCACGGUGUUGUGGAAAGGACCACAGUACCAGAGUCAAGUCAAAGUCUGAAUUUGGAUCCCCCUGCCCAGUAAUGAGGUUGUUCUUGGAUAAGCAUGGUGACAGUUUCUUAGCUUUUUUUUUUUUUUUUUUUUUUUUUUUUUUUUGUCUUUUUAGGGCCGCUUGCUCGGCAUAUGGAGAGUUCCCAGGCUAGGGGUCAAAUUGGAGCUACCGCUGUCGGCCUACACCACAGCCACAGCAACUUGGGAUCCAAGCCGCGUCUGUGA